UACCCACGUGGCCCAGGGCACGAACAUCGCUGUUGACUAACAGGUAGUCACGUGAAAUGUUCUUUUAAUCUCGCGCGCGUUUUCUUUUAAGCAACAAACAUUUAACCACUUAAGGGAUACUUUGGUGAAAAGAACUCGACUGGAUGUUUCUCGACGAGGUGGGUGGUGGUAGAUGGCCGUUCUUAGUUGGUGGAGUGAUUUGUCUAGUUAGUUCCGAUAACGAAAGAGUUUAUAUCGUAUUAAAUAGGUGCAUGGCUCUCUUCACCUUCCACUCUUUCCAAAGAAACAAGCGGCUCCUAGCUGCGCGAAGCAGAGCAAUAACAGGUCUGUGAUGCUCUUAGAUGUCCGGGGUCGCACGCCCUCGCUACGCUGAAGGAAGCAGCCCGUUUUUAUUCCUGCCGGUAAAGACUUGGUAACCCGUGGAACCUUCUUCGUGAUUGAAAUAGGGGUUUGCAAUUGUUUCCCUUCACUCUUAGAAAUAAGGGGUGUGCACAGGUGUACACCCCUUGUCCCAUAUGUAACACCCCAAAUAAAACAUUUGGACGUUCAGUCCACUGACUUCCAUCUCUGGCGAUGCCAACUUUUACGAGCGCCUUUAUAGCUGUUGGAUAUAACGUACAAAACAGAUUAUGUGCGUAUCAAGCACUCAAAAAAAAAAACAAAAAAAACACUGAGGUUUUGCAGCAGGGCCAAAAAACAUUGAUUGUCUUAUUGCAGCCUUUAAUGCGUACAUUGCCUAUUUUAAUAAAGUCUGCUGGUAAAAGUUGGUAUUGUCGGUUGGACGUUUGUGGACUGAACGUCGAAUUGUUAUUCUGGGGUAUUGCAUAAAAGACAAGGGGUGUGCCCUUGUACACCACCUAUUUCUUAGAGUGUUGAACGAGGAAUUCCUUGUACGCGCGAGUCAUAGUUCUCGCGUUGAUUACGUCUCUGCCCUUCGUACACACCGCCCGUCGCUACUACCGAUUGAAAGAUCUAGUGAGGCCUUAGGACCGAUACCCGGAGCGGCCUUUCAGUUGCACCGGUGUGAUGAAGAGAUGACAGCAUUAAGAGGAAGUAAAAGUAUUGGAGGGUGCAGUGCACUAACAUUU
Molecule: non-coding RNA, 1088 nt
Filed under: Ixodes scapularis (black-legged tick)
Lineage: Eukaryota; Metazoa; Arthropoda; Arachnida; Ixodida; Ixodidae
Description: Eukaryotic small subunit ribosomal RNA
Rfam family: Eukaryotic small subunit ribosomal RNA
Source: Rfam by way of RNAcentral